AGCGAACGCUGGCGGCAGGCUUAACACAUGCAAGUCGAGCGGGCACUUUCGGGUGUCAGCGGCGGACGGGUGAGUAACGCGUGGGAACGUGCCCUCUGGUUCGGAAUAACUCAGGGAAACUUGAGCUAAUACCGGAUACGCCCUUUUGGGGAAAGGCUUGCUGCCGGAGGAUCGGCCCGCGUCUGAUUAGCUAGUUAGUGAGGUAACGGCUCACCAAGGCGACGAUCAGUAGCUGGUCUGAGAGGAUGAUCAGCCACACUGGGACUGAGACACGGCCCAGACUCCUACGGGAGGCAGCAGUGGGGAAUAUUGGACAAUGGGCGCAAGCCUGAUCCAGCCAUGCCGCGUGAGUGAUGAAGGCCUUAGGGUUGUAAAGCUCUUUUAUCCGGGACGAUAAUGACGGUACCGGAGGAAUAAGCCCCGGCUAACUUCGUG
Molecule: ribosomal RNA, 435 nt
Filed under: uncultured bacterium
Lineage: Bacteria
Description: partial 16S ribosomal RNA
Rfam family: Bacterial small subunit ribosomal RNA
Source: RNAcentral